GAUGAAGAACGCAGCGAAAUGCGAUAAGUAAUGUGAAUUGCAGAAUUCAGUGAAUCAUCGAAUCUUUGAACGCACAUUGCGCCCGUCAGUAUUCUGGCGGGCAUGCCUGUUCGAGCGUCAUUACGCCCCUCAAGUCCCCUGUGGACUUGGUGUUGGGGAUCGGCGAGGCUGGUUUUCCAGCACAGCCGUCCCUUAAAUUAAUUGGCGGUCUCGCCGUGGCCCUCCUCUGCGCAGUAGUAAAACACUCGCAACAGGAGCCCGGCGCGGUCCACUGCCGUAAAACCCCCCAACUUUUUAUAGUUGACCUCGAAUCAGGUAGGACUACUCGCUGAACUUAAGCAUAUCAAUAAGCGGAGGA
RNAcentral lists this unclassified non-coding RNA (358 nucleotides) under soil metagenome. RNAcentral describes it as "partial contains 5.8S ribosomal RNA, internal transcribed spacer 2, and large subunit ribosomal RNA". The stretch from base 1 to 120 matches the Rfam family "5.8S ribosomal RNA", at positions 35 to 154 of the family's 154-position model. The record is from RNAcentral.